RNAcentral lists this ribosomal RNA (599 nucleotides) under Oceanobacillus iheyensis. RNAcentral describes it as "bacterial SSU rRNA". It matches the Rfam family "Bacterial small subunit ribosomal RNA", at positions 73 to 655 of the family's 1533-position model. Lineage: Bacteria; Bacillati; Bacillota; Bacilli; Caryophanales; Bacillaceae. The record is from RNAcentral.
UUCGGAGUUGACGAUAAUGGAAUGAGCGGCGGACGGGUGAGUAACACGUAGGCAACCUGCCUGUAAGACUGGGAUAACUCGUGGAAACGCGAGCUAAUACCGGAUAACACUUUUCAUCUCCUGAUGAGAAGUUGAAAGGCGGCUUUUGCUGUCACUUACAGAUGGGCCUGCGGCGCAUUAGCUAGUUGGUAAGGUAACGGCUUACCAAGGCGACGAUGCGUAGCCGACCUGAGAGGGUGAUCGGCCACACUGGGACUGAGACACGGCCCAGACUCCUACGGGAGGCAGCAGUAGGGAAUCUUCCGCAAUGGACGAAAGUCUGACGGAGCAACGCCGCGUGAGUGAUGAAGGUUUUCGGAUCGUAAAACUCUGUUGUUAGGGAAGAACAAGUACUAUAGUAACUGAUAGUACCUUGACGGUACCUAACCAGAAAGCCACGGCUAACUACGUGCCAGCAGCCGCGGUAAUACGUAGGUGGCAAGCGUUGUCCGGAAUUAUUGGGCGUAAAGCGCUCGCAGGCGGUUCUUUAAGUCUGAUGUGAAAUCUUACGGCUCAACCGUAAACGUGCAUUGGAAACUGGGGAACUUGAGUGCAGAAGA